UACGUAGGGCGCGAGCGUUGUCCGGAAUUAUUGGGCGUAAAGAGCUCGUAGGCGGUUUGUCGCGUCGGCUGUGAAAACUCGGGGCUCAACCCCGAGCCUGCAGUCGAUACGGGCAAACUAGAGUGUGGUAGGGGAGACUGGAAUUCCGGGUGUAGCGGUGGAAUGCGUAGAGAUCCGGAAGAACACCGGUGGCGAAGGCGGCCUGCUGGGCAGUGGCUGACACUGAGGCGCGGACAGCGUGGGGAGCAAACAGGG
RNAcentral lists this ribosomal RNA (255 nucleotides) under uncultured bacterium. Its description in RNAcentral is "partial 16S ribosomal RNA". It matches the Rfam family "Bacterial small subunit ribosomal RNA", at positions 524 to 777 of the family's 1533-position model. The record is from RNAcentral.